RNAcentral lists this non-coding RNA (25 nucleotides) under Mus musculus (house mouse). Lineage: Eukaryota; Metazoa; Chordata; Mammalia; Rodentia; Muridae. The record is from RNAcentral.
UGACUGCUUGUUGGAUCUAUGGUUC